RNAcentral lists this ribosomal RNA (796 nucleotides) under uncultured Glomus. RNAcentral's name for it is "SSU rRNA". It matches the Rfam family "Eukaryotic small subunit ribosomal RNA", at positions 314 to 1114 of the family's 1831-position model. Lineage: Eukaryota; Fungi; Glomeromycota; Glomeromycetes; Glomerales; Glomeraceae. The record is from RNAcentral.
AUCAACUUUCGAUGGUAGGAUAGAGGCCUACCAUGNUGGUAACGGGUAACGGGUGUUAGGGCACGACACCGGAGAGGGAGCCUGAGAAACGGCUACCACAUCCAAGGAUGGCAGCAGGCGCGCAAAUUACCCAAUCCCGACACGGGGAGGUAGUGACAAUAAAUAACAAUACGGGGUUCUUUCGGAUUUCGUAAUUGGAAUGAGUACAAUUUAAAUCUCUUAACGAGGAACAAUUGGAGGGCAAGUCUGGUGCCAGCAGCCGCGGUAAUUCCAGCUCCAAUAGCGUAUAUUAAAGUUGCUGCAGUUAAAAAGCUCGUAGUUGAAUUUCGGGACCAAUAUGUCGGUCGUGCCUCGGUACGUACUGGCAUCGUUGGUUUCUCCCUUCUGACGAACCAUGAUGUCAUUUAUUUGGUGUCGUGGGGAAUCAGGACUGUUACUUUGAAAAAAUUAGAGUGUUUAAAGCAGGCUCACGCUUGAAUACAUUAGCAUGGGAUAAUGAAAUAGGACGUUUGAUUCUAUUUUGUUGGUUUCUAGGAUCGACGUAAUGAUUAAUAGGGAUAGUUGGGGGCAUUAGUAUUCAAUUGUCAGAGGUGAAAUUCUUGGAUUUAUUGAAGACUAACUACUGCGAAAGCAUUUGCCAAGGAUGUUUUCAUUAAUCAAGAACGAAAGUUAGGGGAUCGAAGACGAUCAGAUACCGUCGUAGUCUUAACCAUAAACUAUGCCGACUAGGGAUCGGAUGAUGUUAAUUUUUAAUGACUCAUUCGGCGCCUUACGGGAAACCAAAGUGUUUGGGUUC